GGAGUAGUAGCUCAGUGGUAGAGCUCUUGCCUGGCAUACAUGAGGCCCUGGGUGCAAUCUCCAGCCCUUCUC
Molecule: transfer RNA, 72 nt
Filed under: Fukomys damarensis (Damara mole-rat)
Lineage: Eukaryota; Metazoa; Chordata; Mammalia; Rodentia; Bathyergidae
Rfam family: tRNA
About the family: Transfer RNA (tRNA) molecules are approximately 80 nucleotides in length. Their secondary structure includes four short double-helical elements and three loops (D, anti-codon, and T loops).
Source: Rfam by way of RNAcentral